GGACAGCUGUGGUUCAGUGGUUAGAGCAUCUGCUUUGCUCUCAGAUGUUCCCAGAUUCAAUCCCUGGCAUUUUCA
This 75-nucleotide transfer RNA is filed under the name Sphaerodactylus townsendi. RNAcentral describes it as "tRNA-Ala". The record is from RNAcentral. Lineage: Eukaryota; Metazoa; Chordata; Lepidosauria; Squamata; Sphaerodactylidae.